ACUGAAUAGAUACCCUGGUAGUCCACGCUGUAAACGAUGUUCACUCGCUGUUUGCGAUACACAGUAAAGCGGCUGAGCGAAAGCAUUAAGUGAACCACCUGGGGAGUACGAUCGCAAGGUUGAAACUCAAAGGGAAUUGACGGGGGCCCGCACAAGCGGAGGAACAUGUGGUUUAAUUCGAUGAUACGCGAGGAACCUUACCUGGGCUUAAAUGUAGAUUGCAUUUUUCGGGAAACCGGAAUUCCCUUCGGGGCUAUUUACAAGGUGCUGCAUGGUUGUCGUCAGCUCGUGCCGUGAGGUGUCGGGUUAAGUCCCAUAACGAGCGCAACCCCUAUCGUUAGUUGCCAGCGGAUAAUGCCGGGGACUCUAGCGAGACUGCCACCGUAAGGUGAGAGGAAGGUGGGGAUGACGUCAAAUCAGCACGGCCCUUAUGUCCAGGGCUACACACGUGUUACAAUGGCCGAUACAAAGGGCAGCUACCAGGUGACUGGAUGCUAAUCUCUAAAGUCGGUCCCAGUUCGGAUUGGAGUCUGCAACCCGACUCC
RNAcentral lists this ribosomal RNA (545 nucleotides) under uncultured bacterium. RNAcentral's name for it is "bacterial SSU rRNA". It matches the Rfam family "Bacterial small subunit ribosomal RNA", at positions 772 to 1319 of the family's 1533-position model. The record is from RNAcentral.